This is a long non-coding RNA of Bos taurus (domestic cattle), 2687 nucleotides long. Lineage: Eukaryota; Metazoa; Chordata; Mammalia; Artiodactyla; Bovidae. The record is from Ensembl.
UUGGUUUAGGAACAGACAUGUGACCCAUCCUGACCAAUGAAACAUGAGAGGAAGAGUUCUAAAGGGUUUCUGGGAAAGGUUUCCUAUUUUAAAGACAGAGGCAAGGAGGAGAUUCUGUUUGAGCUCUGGAUUUUGUCCAGUCUGUAUGGGACACCAGGAACAAUUUGCAACUAUCUUGUGAUCUCAAGGAAACCCAGCCCAAGGAGCAAGUCCACAUGCCAAAGCUGGUGGAGAGGAGAAAAGGAAAGAACUGGAAUCUUUGGUGACACUGGUAAUCUACUCUGACAGUCAUCUCUGGAAUCCACUCUUCCACUGAGCCUUCUCCUAUGUGAUGUCACCACAGAGCAUUCUAGAGUUUAUUGAGUGCUUACCAUGAAUUCCAGACACUGUCCAUACAUCUGCUGCUGCUAAGUCGCCUCAGUCGUGUCCAACUCUGUGCGACCCCAUGGACUGCAGCCUACCAGGCUUCUCCGUCCCUGGGAUUCUCCAGGCAAGAACACUGGAGUGGGUUGCCAUUUCCUUCUCCAAUGCAUGAAAGUGAAAAGUGAAAGUGAAGUCGCUCAGGCAUGUCCAACCCUCAGCGAUCCAAUGGACUGCAGCCCUCCAGGCUCCUCCAUCCAUGGGAUUUUCCAGGCAAGAGUACUGGAAUGGAGUGCCAUUGCCUUCAGCAUAGUGCUGAACACACCAUUUCCUCCAUUUUGAAGGGAACUCAGGCCUAUCACGGUGCCUGGCACAUAAAAGACAUUCCUACAUGUUUGGAUCAAUGAAGCAACUUGUUCAAGUCACAGCUCUAGCAAGGGGCAAAGGGACACUCCAGGCCAGGGCUCUCAGCCCAGUGCUGCUGCUUCUAUGUCACCAUCUCUAUCUUCAGUCACUCAAGUGAGGCUGAUUCUCCAAGGAGGCUGGAGUGGGAGUGGGAGGAGCGUGUGGAUUUACGGAUGGGGAAGUGUUAGAUCUUCCUGCAUCCAGAGUUCUUGCAUUGCCAGGUAUGUUCAAAUAAAUAAUGCCCCCCUCCUCCAAUAUAUGUAGGUCUUCAUCCUCACAACUUGUGAAUGUCACCUUCCUUAUAUUCACCUUUGAAUGUCACUUCCCAGGUGGCACCAGUGGUAAAGAAUCCACCUGUCAAUGCAGGAGAUGCAGGUUCCAUCCCUGUGUUGGGAAGAUCCCCUGGAGAAGGAAAUGGCAACCUACUCCAGUAUUCUUGCCGGGAAAGUCCCAUAGGCAGAGGAGCCUGGUGGGCUACAGUCCAUGGGGUCACAAAGAGUUGAACAUGACAGCACACACAGACACACACUGUCAUAAUCCAGAUGCGAUUAAGUUAAAUUUAGCCCAGAUGUGGUUAAGGAUCUCAAGGCAGGAAGAUUAUCUUGGAUUAUCCAGGUGGGCUCCAAACACAAUCACAUGUGUCCUUUGAAGAGGGAGGCAGAGGGAGAUUUGACACACAGAGAAGAGGAGGCGAUGUGAUUGCGGAGGUGAGAGAUUGGAUUGGUGCAGCCACAAGCCCGUGAUUGCCACUGGAAGCUGGAAGAGGCAAGGAAUGGAUUCUUUCCUUCCUCAGAGUCCCUGGAGGGAGAGCCACUCUCCCCAUUCCUUGAUUUCAGCCCAAGGAUACUGAGUUCAGAAUUCUGGUUUCCAGAACCUCGAGAGAAUAAAUUUCCAUUGUUUGAAGAGACCCAGUUUAUGGCGACUUAAUACGGCAGCCACAGGAAACUGAUACACCUGCUUUGGGGGAUGGCUCAGAAACACCUCCGGGUCUGCAGUCCUCUGACCUCUGCCGUCUGGGGGACCAAGAAGGGGUUCCUGUGGCCCCUGUGCCUGAAGCAGAAACAGAGGAGGCCGAGCUGCACCUGUGUCGGUCGGAAAGUUAUUUUGAUGGGGACCGUUUUUAAUAUAUUUAUUGAAUUUUUUACAAUAUGGCUUCUGUAUUAUAUUUUGGUGUUUUGGCUGUGAGGCAUGUGGGAUCUUAGUUCCCCGACCAAGCGUUGAACCCGUACCCCCUACACUGGAAGGCAAAGUCUUAACCACUGGACUGCCAGGGCAGUUCCUGAAAGAGGUUCCAGGAAUCAGACAUUGAAAGGCAUACGUCCAGAAAUCCUCACUGGGCACCUGCUAUGUGGCAGACCAGCUGGGACCACAGAUCUAACAUGACUUGGAAUUGGGUCUGGGUUGCCCUGAGACCAGGCUGCAGGCUGAGCUGCUGGGGUGCAGGAAACCCCAGGCCCAUCCUACUGACCUUGCUCCGGGGUCAGGUGUGGGGGCAGGAAGGGCCUGGAACCUGAAAUCUGAAUCUGAAAGCAGAUGUCAGGAUUUUUCCUCCCAAGGAGGGUGUUUGGCUCAGGUUUCUUGGGAAGUGGAGACAACGGAGGUGGAGGAACGUGGCCUGGAGUCUUGCCGGACCUGGAAGGAAGUGUACACGGUCAAGCGUGGAGGUGCCAAGCCCCAGGAGGCCUGGUGGGCUCGCAGCCGAGGUGUGGGGCAUGGGCGCUGGACAACCACAGGCAGGGGCUGCCGGCGUGGAGCGCACCCGCCGCCUCUCCAGGGACAGACGGGGCUCCCUGGAGCUGUGGUCUGUGGUCACUUCUGUGCCUGCUCUGUCCGCGGGGCGGGAGGGCUGUCCCUGGAGACGGAGGGGCCUCUGGGCCUCUCCACCACUGCCGGGCCUUGACCCUGGGCCUGCGAGUUUCUGG